CUGUGGGAUAAAAUGGUAAAGUUGGAGCAAAGAAUGAGAGGAGGAGGUGCAGGGUCUAUCGUCCAAUAAAAACGCUCGGCGCUAGUUUUGACCGUGUGUUUUUUCCUCACGCAAGCGUUUGUAUCACAUCGGCGUAUGGCGCCAAUUUGUAAAGGUCAUAAGUCGAGACAUACAUCGAGUCUGUCAAUUUGUCCGGCAGUAAAUUCUGCAGGGCCGUGCCACCUGGCCAUCGAGGCGCCCCCCUACCCGGCCACGCGGGCCAUACAUCGAGUCUGACACUUUUGCCCUCCAGUAAAUUCUGUUUAAAGUUUUGUUUUCACAUACGUCCCAAAUUACAGAUAAUUUUCUUACACAGGCACGAGUAGCAUCAUCAAGGCCGUACCACCUGGUCAUACAUCAAGUCUGACAAUUUCCCCGCCAGUAAAUUCUGUUUAUAGUUUUGUUUGUCAUACAUGACCGUGCAGAUAUGGGGUGACAGAGACAAUUAAAUUGUAUUACGUCGAGCGGGGGGCCUUUUCCUCCUCCUAGAGGCACAACGCCUUACCAAAGUUUGUACCAGCCAAAGAACCACAAGUUUCAUCGAGACCUUACCCGGUAAGUAUAUUAUUUCUUUUAUUCCUGUUAUAAAAAUGCUAUUCAAUUAAAAAUAACAUUCUAAUAAUAGGUAUUCUCUGUUUUUUCUAUGUACAAGAGAGAGAGACUGCGCUGACCGGUCAAGAGAAAAUCUACAAGAGACCUGAAUCAGCAGUGUUAUAAAGCACAUAGCCAACGCUAAUUAAUAAAGAAUUUAAGCAUAAUAGCCCAGACGCCCAUGGCCUAUAGCUGGUAGAAACGGAGCUAUCCUACGGCCUACAAGAUAAAAGCAUAUGGCACCAAAUUGGAAUCAGUAGUCUUUAAAAGAAUAAAUGGACUAGCAACUGUCUCUGGGGGAGCAGCCCCGGUUAGGUACUAUUAAGCAGCAUUUAGUGACAUGCAUCAAAACACAUUUUUUAAAACUUUGACAGAAUAAAGUCUUAGUUAUUUUAAUAAAUAUGUUUUUCAGUAAAUGUUUAUUCACGCGCAUGCGGACAAACACACACCCCGGAGGUCAAACUAAAAAAAAGUUGAUACAAACUACAGUUGUAUCGGACACGCACACAAAAACACGAGAGUUUGCUCAAUCAAAAAACACCAAACAUAUAUAGUUCACGUUUUUUUAUUAAAAUGUAUAAGGAUUGUUUUCUUAUAGCGAAAUUUUAAAUUAAUAUGAGUGGGAUAUAAGUCAUUUAGGCAACAGGAUUUGAGGAAGAACCUAAAUAGCAGCUAGAAAUGACCGACCAGGCAGGCAGAAGUCUGCUUUUCUUAUCUCACAAGUCAUGGAAGGGUGGGAGGGGGGCCACAUAAGUGUGGGGUAGGAACUGUGGAAUCAGGCAGGGGUGCAAGAAUUUAGGAUAUAGUCUUGUUAUUUUAAAGAAGGUGUACAUGAUUAUUUAAUUACAUUUAAUAGGAACCAGUAAGCUGCAUUUAGCACCAUGCUGCAAAUACACAUAAAAAAAACUUUAAAGAAUAAGGUCUUAGUUAUUUUAAUAAAGACAUCCUACAAGGUACCCACGGCCCCAGCUUAUAUAAUCUACAAGCUUGAUCUGAGAUGCUUGCUGGAGUACAAUGCUAAGUUGACAACGGUAACGGAGCUGCAUAUUGUUUGAUAGUUAUGAAACAUAGUUCAAAUUCAACAGUGUCAGCAGUCAUCCACUAUGCAGGGAGACUACAGAUUGACUAUAACGACCCCAUUUAUCUGCUGGAAUUAUUUAAAAAAAAAAAUUGACAUAAUAAAGCCUUAGUUAUUUUAAUAAA
Brienomyrus brachyistius is the source of this 1833-nucleotide long non-coding RNA. RefSeq lists it as uncharacterized. The transcript has 2 exons. The record is from RefSeq and is a predicted model, not a curated record. NCBI's taxonomy places the organism in Eukaryota, Metazoa, Chordata, Actinopteri, Osteoglossiformes, Mormyridae.